Molecule: ribosomal RNA, 268 nt
Filed under: uncultured bacterium
Lineage: Bacteria
Description: partial 16S ribosomal RNA
Rfam family: Bacterial small subunit ribosomal RNA
Source: RNAcentral
AUGGCGACCGGCGUACGGGUGAGUAACGCGUAUCCAACCUGCCCUUUACUAUGGGACAGCCCGUCGAAAGGCGGAUUAAUACCGUAUGUUGUCAUGUUGAUGCAUAUUGUCAUGACCAAAGGCUUCGGCCGGUAAAGGAUGGGGAUGCGUCUGAUUAGCUUGCCGGCGGGGUAACGGCCCACCGGGGCGACGAUCAGUAGGGGUUCUGAGAGGAAGGUCCCCCACAUUGGAACUGAGACACGGUCCAAACUCCUACGGGAGGCAGCAG